Molecule: ribosomal RNA, 397 nt
Filed under: uncultured bacterium
Lineage: Bacteria
Description: bacterial SSU rRNA
Rfam family: Bacterial small subunit ribosomal RNA
Source: RNAcentral
AUAUUGCACAAUGGGGGAAACCCUGAUGCAGCAACGCCGCGUGAGCGAAGAAGUAUUUCGGUAUGUAAAGCUCUAUCAGCAGGGAAGAAAGUGACGGUACCUGAGUAAGAAGCCCUGGCUAACUACGUGCCAGCAGCCGCGGUAAUACGUAGGGGGCAAGCGUUAUCCGGAUUUACUGGGUGUAAAGGGAGCGUAGACGGCGGCGCAAGUCUGAUGUGAAAGCCUGGGGCUCAACCCCGGAACUGCAUUGGAAACUGUGCUGCUGGAGUGCCGGAGAGGUAAGCGGAAUUCCUAGUGUAGCGGUGAAAUGCGUAGAUAUUAGGAGGAACACCAGUGGCGAAGGCGGCUUACUGGACGGUAACUGACGUUGAGGCUCGAAAGCGUGGGGAGCAAACAG